AGAGUUUGAUCCUGGCUCAGGACGAACGCUGGCGGCGUGCCUAAUACAUGCAAGUCGAACGCUUCUUUUUCCACCGGAGCUUGCUCCACCGGAAAAAGAGGAGUGGCGAACGGGUGAGUAACACGUGGGUAACCUGCCCAUCAGAAGGGGAUAACACUUGGAAACAGGUGCUAAUACCGUAUAACAAUCGAAACCGCAUGGUUUUGAUUUGAAAGGCGCUUUCGGGUGUCGCUGAUGGAUGGACCCGCGGUGCAUUAGCUAGUUGGUGAGGUAACGGCACACCAAGGCGACGAUGCAUAGCCGACCUGAGAGGGUGAUCGGCCACAUUGGGACUGAGACACGGCCCAAACUCCUACGGGAGGCAGCAGUAGGGAAUCUUCGGCAAUGGACGAAAGUCUGACCGAGCAACGCCGCGUGAGUGAAGAAGGUUUUCGGAUCGUAAAACUCUGUUGUUAGAGAAGAACAAGGAUGAGAGUAACUGUUCAUCCCUUGACGGUAUCUAACCAGAAAGCCACGGCUAACUACGUGCCAGCAGCCGCGGUAAUACGUAGGUGGCAAGCGUUGUCCGGAUUUAUUGGGCGUAAAGCGAGCGCAGGCGGUUUCUUAAGUCUGAUGUGAAAGCCCCCGGCUCAACCGGGGAGGGUCAUUGGAAACUGGGAGACUUGAGUGCAGAAGAGGAGAGUGGAAUUCCAUGUGUAGCGGUGAAAUGCGUAGAUAUAUGGAGGAACACCAGUGGCGAAGGCGGCUCUCUGGUCUGUAACUGACGCUGAGGCUCGAAAGCGUGGGGAGCAAACAGGAUUAGAUACCCUGGUAGUCCACGCCGUAAACGAUGAGUGCUAAGUGUUGGAGGGUUUCCGCCCUUCAGUGCUGCAGCUAACGCAUUAAGCACUCCGCCUGGGGAGUACGACCGCAAGGUUGAAACUCAAAGGAAUUGACGGGGGCCCGCACAAGCGGUGGAGCAUGUGGUUUAAUUCGAAGCAACGCGAAGAACCUUACCAGGUCUUGACAUCCUUUGACCACUCUAGAGAUAGAGCUUCCCCUUCGGGGGCAAAGUGACAGGUGGUGCAUGGUUGUCGUCAGCUCGUGUCGUGAGAUGUUGGGUUAAGUCCCGCAACGAGCGCAACCCUUAUUGUUAGUUGCCAUCAUUUAGUUGGGCACUCUAGCAAGACUGCCGGUGACAAACCGGAGGAAGGUGGGGAUGACGUCAAAUCAUCAUGCCCCUUAUGACCUGGGCUACACACGUGCUACAAUGGGAAGUACAACGAGUCGCAAAGUCGCGAGGCUAAGCUAAUCUCUUAAAGCUUCUCUCAGUUCGGAUUGUAGGCUGCAACUCGCCUACAUGAAGCCGGAAUCGCUAGUAAUCGCGGAUCAGCACGCCGCGGUGAAUACGUUCCCGGGCCUUGCACACACCGCCCGUCA
This 1419-nucleotide ribosomal RNA is filed under the name uncultured bacterium. RNAcentral describes it as "16S ribosomal RNA". It matches the Rfam family "Bacterial small subunit ribosomal RNA". The record is from RNAcentral.